Non-coding RNA from Acanthosepion pharaonis, 117 nucleotides. Lineage: Eukaryota; Metazoa; Mollusca; Cephalopoda; Sepiida; Sepiidae. The record is from the annotation of a GenBank genome assembly.
UUACGAUCACAUCACGUUGAAACACCAGUUCCUGUAUCCUGAUCACCGAAGUUAAGCAAUGUUGAACCUGGUCAGUAGCUAGAUGGAUGACUGCUUCAGAAUACUAGGUGUUGUAAG